GAGCAUCUACCGUUGUAGUCCACACUCAGCAACAGGGAACUCAGGUUGCUGGAAGCGACUCCGAGGGUGGUCUGGACAUCUGUAGUAUCGGUUCUAUUAGUCGAAAGGUUAGUAUAAUUCUGAUCUCCUUGCUUUACACAGUGAAUUGGUGAGGCCAAGAUGUAGAAACUCAGCAGUAUGCAUGACAGAACGAGUCUGUGGUGGUUCUCACUCCUCAAAGGUCGGUCUGCAAUGAUUUGCGAGUUCGGACGCGGUCAGCGUGGACUGCUUCGGUUCAGAUGGGCUGAACAAUGAUUGGUCCUUGUGGGGAGAUGAUCUGGGGAGUGAGAGAUGGGCGACCUAGCAGCAAAUCUUUGAAACAAUACUGACCGGAGCACUGAAUCGCACAGGGUGAAGUAUGCGGAAGUAUGCGGAAGUAUACGAAGUGGCCAAUAGCUCAAGUGCUGUUGCCGCUUCUGCCGUCGCAAAACUUCAUCAAGCACGUUGGCCCUGGAGAGGGAGCUGUGAACUUGUGAAACGUUGUUCAGGAUUAUGUAGUAGCUGGUGGCGCAACUUGUACUGUACACAUAUUCGGCUGGCCAAAGUGUACUUUGUAGCAAUAUCGGUGGGCUCCGCACAUGAAUUGCCUGGUAAUGCUGCUAGAAAUUUGGGAUGCGGAAUGGGUGUAAAUAGUGUGGCAACCUCGAUGAUCCGCAUCAUCUCAAACUAACACGUGUAACAAAACCGCCCUGACGUCAUCCCUGUUGUCACCCCUACCGAUAACCUGUUCUCGAGCUCGAAAUUACACUGCGCGAAAUCGCCAUCACCUCAGAAACUGUUGACCACGUCGUUAGUGCAAAACGAUCCGUAGCUUCGCAAUGUCUCGUUUCGGAGCAUGUGUUCCACUUUUUUGGGCGUGAAAAUCUUGAUGGGCACAUAGAAGUUACGGGGCAAAGUUGCUUGAAUAAGUUGCAAUGGAAUGUUCGAAUUGCCACCUGAAACAUAUUGUUGAACGGUGAGAUUCGAAAGAACUGAACAUCUC
Molecule: long non-coding RNA, 1021 nt
Filed under: Physcomitrium patens
Lineage: Eukaryota; Viridiplantae; Streptophyta; Bryopsida; Funariales; Funariaceae
Description: long non-coding RNA (PPAT_LNC006439)
Source: RNAcentral